Long non-coding RNA from Canis lupus familiaris (dog), 713 nucleotides. RefSeq lists it as uncharacterized. The record is from RefSeq and is a predicted model, not a curated record. NCBI's taxonomy places the organism in Eukaryota, Metazoa, Chordata, Mammalia, Carnivora, Canidae. The transcript has 3 exons.
AGUAGAUAGCAAGUGCCAGAACUUAGAGAACUCAGUCUCCAAAUUGUAUGAGCCAGAUUCUUCUAUGCCUUCUUGAGAAUCCCAGUGGCCAAGACUGAAUCACAUUCUGAAGUCCUACUUCAAUGGAAGCUAGCAAGGUGACUAUUCAAUAUUUUUAGCUGCUCUGUUGGGAGAAAGAAAGAACUCAAAAGCAAUUUCCCAAAGAAGAUGGAACAUGAAAAGCAUUGAAAUAAUCUCAACAUCAUCUGUUGCUGUACUUUGUACUUUAGAUCCUAGUAGGGACUCAAGUUUUUUGUCUAUUUGGUCUUCCUUGUGGGAUAAGAAUUUGAGGAAGGAGAUAUCUCUGCCUCAGGAUUGCUACAUUGAGAAUCACUCACAAGAGACCUCAACCAACAUAAAUCUCUUUGCAAUGAGCUCUAAUCCAGAGAAUGGAACUCUAUAACAAGGUCAGAAGGUUGAUUCAACUGCCUUGAAAUCAAUGACCCUGUAUAUUUUCCCAGGGAAUGUUAAAUUUUGUACUCGGGGCGGUGGGGGGUGGGGGGGGGACACUGUUUAAAAUUACUUUCCUCUAAAUGUAGGAGGCAAUUUAGCUGACCUUAGGCUUUUAAAACUUAUUCUAAUAUACUAUUCAUCUUUCAAGCAUAUUCCUCAAAAAUUUUACCUAUUACACUUAACUUUUUAAAAAACUAGCAAACUGAAUUUAUUCAUGUUUU